GCUGUACUCCGGAGGCAACACAGAAAUCGCCCCAUUCUUCUCUACACCAUGCCCACGGUAAUUCGGCAGAGAAUGACAUAAUUAAAUAAUAUAAUGUGAGUGACAUGAGUGCGCAGUAAUAAGAAGCUAGAGCAAUCAAUGAACACAAUUGGGCCCAGCCGACACCUAUUGAAGAAAACGACAACUUAACCUAAAUCCGGUGACAAGUUUAAUGUAAUAAAAGGGCUUGCCAACCAAGAAAAGGACGAUUAUAUAAGGUAUGAGGAAUGCACCACCGCCAUUUUCAUACGCAACGAAUGGAAAUCUCCAUACGUUUCCGAAACCGACAGACAGGGCGAUGCAGGACAUCAAAAAUUCUAUACUGUUUGUCCAUGUUACCUGAUUAACACGUCCCUUAUCGACACCAUUGGAACUCUAUAAAAUUAAAGAUUAAAUAUUUGAAGUGUGUCAAUUUAAAAAUUAGCUCAUCAUUUGUUUAUAUAUUAUCUGGAAUAUCUGUAGUCAGUUCUCAACUAAAAUAGCAAAGGAAUAUUGGCAAUUGGGUAAUCUUGUUAUGAGAAUUCCUAGCACUAAACACAUGUUCAAAUUUGUCACUAAGCUAUUUCAAUCAUGGACAUGGCAGUAUCAUUAAUUUUUUCAUAGAACUGUUUACAAGACUAUAAAAACAGAUACAUGUCUAUGGCAUAAAAUGAUAAGAUAUUUAUAGUGUAAAAUUAUGAGAUAAGGCCAGUACGCGCAAAUAUUGAUCUAAUUUCAUCUAUUUUCAAGAUAUAUGGAAAUAGCCAUGGAUACAAGUUUAAUAUGGAACAGAGUAGAGUAGAGCCUCUCUGUUCACGUCGUAUCGAUCAUCGGCGUUCGAUAUUGCUGUUUGUCUUUUAAAGAACAAACAUCAAUUGCAACAGUGUUGGAAUGCCCAAGCAAAAUACCUUUUAAAAUGAAUCUAUUAUCGACGCGUAGAAAAAAUUAAUAUUUUAUAAAUUUUUAGGCAUAAAGACAUAUUAUCUUUGAGAUAUGCAACUAUUUCAUUACUCCUGAUAACAGCUUGAUUUUAUAAGUUUAGUUUUUGAUCAAUUAUUUAAAUACUGUUUAUCCAAUUAUAAUACGCAUCACUGUUUAAAGUCACAUAGAAAUAGAUACUAACAUUCUCUAAUUGUUAUAACAUUUUUUUUUAAUCAAUUACCUUAUGUAACUAUUAUUAACAAUAAAA
Cephus cinctus (wheat stem sawfly) is the source of this 1207-nucleotide long non-coding RNA. RefSeq lists it as uncharacterized. The record is from RefSeq and is a predicted model, not a curated record. The transcript is spliced from 3 exons. Lineage: Eukaryota; Metazoa; Arthropoda; Insecta; Hymenoptera; Cephidae.